This 983-nucleotide long non-coding RNA is filed under the name Gallus gallus (chicken). RNAcentral describes it as "lncRNA (ENSGALG00010004432.1)". Lineage: Eukaryota; Metazoa; Chordata; Aves; Galliformes; Phasianidae. The record is from RNAcentral.
GUGGAGUUCAGGACCUGCCACCUGAGAUCCUCAGCUGCACAAAGCCGCCGGUGAAAGGGAUGGUCUUUCAGGAGGGCCUUGUUCAAACAGAGGAGAGAAAACGCUGGUGGGAAUACAAGACCAAGAGGCCUAUUUGGCCUAUGCGCCCCCCAGCACUUCCCAGAGGGCACAGGAAAGCAGGAGCAGCAGCAAGACCAUCACGAGGACCAGCUUUGAGCCUGGAGAAAAAAGCAGACAGCCAAACUGAAACCUGCCAGCCCUUCAACUCUGGCUUCAGCGGCAGCAGAAGCACAGAGCAAUCGGACAGGCUCGCUAUGGAAAGGCUGUACCGGCAGCUCCUGGUGUCCCUAAAACGGCCCAAGACCAAGAACGAUUGCUAACAAGUCAGGCUGUGGAACUGAAGAACAUCCUCCCUGUAACCUCUUCCUGCACACAGCCACCAGUGAAAGGGACGAUCGUGAAGGAGAACAUCCUUCAAACAGAGGAGGGGAAGUGCUGGUGGAAGAGCAUACCAACAGAGAACUGGAUCUCAGCCCUAAGAUCAUUGUUUGCAUCACACUAUUUCAGUUGGAGGUCUUUUGCAGUUUUAAAAAGAUAGUUUAAUAAAUGUCUCGCUAGUCUUCAGAGAAUUGCUAUCCUUAUUUCUUGACUUUUAGCAAUAAGAGCAAGCUCCCUCUGCGAGGAAGAGCUUCCAAGCAGGUAAGACUGCACUGGGGAUGGGACCUGAAGCAAGAAGAGCUGAUGAAAUGCUCUUCUGGGGGCUUUUGGAAGCCAGCAGAAGUGCUCUGCCUGUGCCAGGGGGCUGGCAGCCUGUGGGUGGGCUGCCGAGCCAGCGUGGGCGCAGCCGACACUGCCCACCCUGGACCAGGCUACCAGGCCAUAAGCAGUCUCAGGGAGGGUGGCAGCCAGCUGCCACCCACAGAGCACGCAGGGUGAGCAAAUGGUGAGCAAAGACUUCAGCAAAGCCUUUGACACUGUUUCCC